UGCCGCACAGGCCCGAGCGGCAGUGAGAGUGAGAGCAGGAGCACGCUCCGCGCACCAAACCCCCGAGACGCCUCAAAACGCAGGCAAAGUGGAAGUGGAAUCGAGUCAAAUCGACCACUUCUCUGGCAAGCCCGCAGGCCGCAGCCCCUCCUCUCUCCAAGAGCCGCCGCGGCUGCUCCCCCCCUAGCAAACCCGCCAUGGCCGAGCGCCUCGCAGCAUCCGCCGCCACCCUCCGCGCCUCGGCCGCCGCCACCCCAUUCGCCCGCCGCGCGGCGCCGGCCAACCGCGCCUUCUUCUCGCCUUCGCUAGCUCGCGCGCGCGUCGGCCUCCGCGCCGCGCCCUCUUCGCUCCCACAGAAGGCGAGGGCAGUGAGGUGCGCGGCUGUGGCGAUGGCGUCUGACGCGGCUCAGGUGAAGGCCGCACGCGAGGACAUCAGGGAGCUUCUCAGGACGACUCACUCCCACCCCAUCCUGGUCCGUCUAGGAUGGCAUGAUGCUGGUACGUAUGACAAGAAUAUUGAGGAGUGGCCACAACGAGGUGGAGCUAAUGGAAGUUUAAGAUUUGAUGUUGAGUUGAAACAUGGAGCCAAUGCUGGUCUGAUAAAUGCUCUAAAGCUUAUCCAACCAAUCAAGGACAAGUACCCUAGUAUCACUUAUGCAGAUUUAUUUCAGUUGGCAAGUGCUACAGCAAUUGAGGAAGCUGGUGGCCCAAAGAUUCCAAUGAAAUACGGACGAGUUGAUGUUACAGGACCUGAGCAGUGCCCCCCUGAGGGGAAACUUCCUGAUGCUGGCCCAAGUUCACCUGCUGACCACUUGAGGGAGGUAUUCUACAGAAUGGGCCUUAAUGACAAGGAAAUUGUUGCCUUGUCUGGAGCACAUACACUUGGAAGGUCCAGGCCUGAACGGAGUGGCUGGGGGAAACCAGAAACAAAAUAUACUAAAAAUGGUCCUGGUGCACCUGGUGGGCAAUCAUGGACAGUUGAAUGGCUGAGGUUUGAUAACAGUUACUUCAAGCAAUACUUCAGGAUAUCAAAGAGAAACGAGAUCAGGAUCUUCUGGUCCUACCUACAGAUGCUGCUUUAUUUGAGGACCCAAAGUUCAAGGUCUAUGCGGAGAAAUAUGCAGAGGACCAAGACGCAUUCUUCAGAGACUACGCUGAGGCUCAUGCUAAACUGAGCGAAUUGGGUGCAAAGUUCCAACCACCGCAGGGAUUCUCUUUGGAUGAUUAGUGCGGCACCAGAACCACAGUCCGUGAAACAGGAAAACCCUGUCCUUGAAAAGGAUCAAGAGGGAGCAUACAAUUCAUUGUUCUUCUCAUAUCAUCGUACAAGAUGGACUGGUCCCCCUUUUCAUGAUGCUAUAUGGAGUCUUCUAAUUUAGCUAGAUUUCUGAACCGAGCUUGCAAAUAAAAAAGAACCGACACAGUGGCACUACAUAAUUUUCAGAUCCAUUGGGAGAACUGACACAGUGCUAUCAGAUUUGGUUUUAUCCCUUCCACAUGACGCUCUGCGCUGCUGUCAAUUUUCUACUAUUAGCACCA
RNA transcript from Zea mays, 1539 nucleotides. It is a transcript of the gene named L-ascorbate peroxidase S chloroplastic/mitochondrial, with no coding region annotated. The record is from RefSeq and is marked provisional. NCBI's taxonomy places the organism in Eukaryota, Viridiplantae, Streptophyta, Magnoliopsida, Poales, Poaceae. The transcript is spliced from 12 exons.